AAUCAACGCUGGCGGCGUGCCUAACACAUGCAAGUCGAACGCGAGAGGGGCUUCGGCCCCGAUUGAGUGGCGAACGGGUGAGUAACGCGUGGGUGACCUACCUUCGAGUGGGGGAUAACGUCCCGAAAGGGACGCUAAUACCGCAUAACAUCCUGCUUUUGAAUGGGUGGAGAUCAAAGCCGGGGAUCGCAAGACCUGGCGCUUGAUGAGGGGCCCGCGUCUGAUUAGCUAGNGGUGAGGUAACGGCCCACCAAGGCAACGAUCAGUAUCCGGCCUGAGAGGGCGGACGGACACACUGGGACUGAGACACGGCCCAGACUCCUACGGGAGGCAGCAGUGGGGAAUUGUUCGCAAUGGGCGCAAGCCUGACGACGCAACGCCGCGUGGAGGAUGAAGGUCUUGGAUUGUAAACUCCUGUUGCCCGGGACGAAUGGCUCCGACCUAACACGUCGGAGUGUGAC
This 461-nucleotide ribosomal RNA is filed under the name uncultured bacterium. RNAcentral's name for it is "bacterial SSU rRNA". It matches the Rfam family "Bacterial small subunit ribosomal RNA", at positions 32 to 473 of the family's 1533-position model. The record is from RNAcentral.